CCCCUCUUAUGACUGCACUUGCAGAGUUUCCAGUACUCUGACAAUCUUAGCUAUGGGAGGGAGAGUCAAGCGGAGGCAUACCUAUUCCAUUCUUAGCUUGGGCAGUAGCUAGUGAGUAGAAGGCAAUCCGCUACAAGU
Ornithorhynchus anatinus (platypus) is the source of this 138-nucleotide non-coding RNA. The record is from Rfam. NCBI's taxonomy places the organism in Eukaryota, Metazoa, Chordata, Mammalia, Monotremata, Ornithorhynchidae.